GGGUUGUGAGGUUAAGCGACUAAGCGUACACGGUGGAUGCCCUGGCAGUCAGAGGCGAUGAAGGACGUGCUAAUCUGCGAUAAGCGUCGGUAAGGUGAUAUGAACCGUUAUAACCGGCGAUUUCCGAAUGGGGAAACCCAGUGUGUUUCGACACACUAUCAUUAACUGAAUCCAUAGGUUAAUGAGGCGAACCGGGGGAACUGAAACAUCUAAGUACCCCGAGGAAAAGAAAUCAACCGAGAUUCCCCCAGUAGCGGCGAGCGAACGGGGAGCAGCCCAGAGCCUGAAUCAGUGUGUGUGUUAGUGGAAGCGUCUGGAAAGGCGCGCGAUACAGGGUGACAGCCCCGUACACAAAAAUGCACAUGCUGUGAGCUCGAUGAGUAGGGCGGGACACGUGGUAUCCUGUCUGAAUAUGGGGGGACCAUCCUCCAAGGCUAAAUACUCCUGACUGACCGAUAGUGAACCAGUACCGUGAGGGAAAGGCGAAAAGAACCCCGGCGAGGGGAGUGAAAAAGAACCUGAAACCGUGUACGUACAAGCAGUGGGAGCACGCUUAGGCGUGUGACUGCGUACCUUUUGUAUAAUGGGUCAGCGACUUAUAUUCUGUAGCAAGGUUAACCGAAUAGGGGAGCCGAAGGGAAACCGAGUCUUAACUGGGCGUUAAGUUGCAGGGUAUAGACCCGAAACCCGGUGAUCUAGCCAUGGGCAGGUUGAAGGUUGGGUAACACUAACUGGAGGACCGAACCGACUAAUGUUGAAAAAUUAGCGGAUGACUUGUGGCUGGGGGUGAAAGGCCAAUCAAACCGGGAGAUAGCUGGUUCUCCCCGAAAGCUAUUUAGGUAGCGCCUCGUGAAUUCAUCUCCGGGGGUAGAGCACUGUUUCGGCAAGGGGGUCAUCCCGACUUACCAACCCGAUGCAAACUGCGAAUACCGGAGAAUGUUAUCACGGGAGACACACGGCGGGUGCUAACGUCCGUCGUGAAGAGGGAAACAACCCAGACCGCCAGCUAAGGUCCCAAAGUCAUGGUUAAGUGGGAAACGAUGUGGGAAGGCCCAGACAGCCAGGAUGUUGGCUUAGAAGCAGCCAUCAUUUAAAGAAAGCGUAAUAGCUCACUGGUCGAGUCGGCCUGCGCGGAAGAUGUAACGGGGCUAAACCAUGCACCGAAGCUGCGGCAGCGACGCUUAUGCGUUGUUGGGUAGGGGAGCGUUCUGUAAGCCUGUGAAGGUGUGCUGUGAGGCAUGCUGGAGGUAUCAGAAGUGCGAAUGCUGACAUAAGUAACGAUAAAGCGGGUGAAAAGCCCGCUCGCCGGAAGACCAAGGGUUCCUGUCCAACGUUAAUCGGGGCAGGGUGAGUCGACCCCUAAGGCGAGGCCGAAAGGCGUAGUCGAUGGGAAACAGGUUAAUAUUCCUGUACUUGGUGUUACUGCGAAGGGGGGACGGAGAAGGCUAUGUUGGCCGGGCGACGGUUGUCCCGGUUUAAGCGUGUAGGCUGGUUUUCCAGGCAAAUCCGGAAAAUCAAGGCUGAGGCGUGAUGACGAGGCACUACGGUGCUGAAGCAACAAAUGCCCUGCUUCCAGGAAAAGCCUCUAAGCAUCAGGUAACAUCAAAUCGUACCCCAAACCGACACAGGUGGUCAGGUAGAGAAUACCAAGGCGCUUGAGAGAACUCGGGUGAAGGAACUAGGCAAAAUGGUGCCGUAACUUCGGGAGAAGGCACGCUGAUAUGUAGGUGAAGCGACUUGCUCGUGGAGCUGAAAUCAGUCGAAGAUACCAGCUGGCUGCAACUGUUUAUUAAAAACACAGCACUGUGCAAACACGAAAGUGGACGUAUACGGUGUGACGCCUGCCCGGUGCCGGAAGGUUAAUUGAUGGGGUUAGCGGUAACGCGAAGCUCUUGAUCGAAGCCCCGGUAAACGGCGGCCGUAACUAUAACGGUCCUAAGGUAGCGAAAUUCCUUGUCGGGUAAGUUCCGACCUGCACGAAUGGCGUAAUGAUGGCCAGGCUGUCUCCACCCGAGACUCAGUGAAAUUGAACUCGCUGUGAAGAUGCAGUGUACCCGCGGCAAGACGGAAAGACCCCGUGAACCUUUACUAUAGCUUGACACUGAACAUUGAGCCUUGAUGUGUAGGAUAGGUGGGAGGCUUAGAAGUGUGGACGCCAGUCUGCAUGGAGCCGACCUUGAAAUACCACCCUUUAAUGUUUGAUGUUCUAACGUUGACCCGUAAUCCGGGUUGCGGACAGUGUCUGGUGGGUAGUUUGACUGGGGCGGUCUCCUCCUAAAGAGUAACGGAGGAGCACGAAGGUUGGCUAAUCCUGGUCGGACAUCAGGAGGUUAGUGCAAUGGCAUAAGCCAGCUUGACUGCGAGCGUGACGGCGCGAGCAGGUGCGAAAGCAGGUCAUAGUGAUCCGGUGGUUCUGAAUGGAAGGGCCAUCGCUCAACGGAUAAAAGGUACUCCGGGGAUAACAGGCUGAUACCGCCCAAGAGUUCAUAUCGACGGCGGUGUUUGGCACCUCGAUGUCGGCUCAUCACAUCCUGGGGCUGAAGUAGGUCCCAAGGGUAUGGCUGUUCGCCAUUUAAAGUGGUACGCGAGCUGGGUUUAGAACGUCGUGAGACAGUUCGGUCCCUAUCUGCCGUGGGCGCUGGAGAACUGAGGGGGGCUGCUCCUAGUACGAGAGGACCGGAGUGGACGCAUCACUGGUGUUCGGGUUGUCAUGCCAAUGGCACUGCCCGGUAGCUAAAUGCGGAAGAGAUAAGUGCUGAAAGCAUCUAAGCACGAAACUUGCCCCGAGAUGAGUUCUCCCUGACCCUUUAAGGGUCCUGAAGGAACGUUGAAGACGACGACGUUGAUAGGCCGGGUGUGUAAGCGCAGCGAUGCGUUGAGCUAACCGGUACUAAUGAACCGUGAGGCUUAACCUUACAACGCCGAAGGUGUUU
This 2933-nucleotide ribosomal RNA is filed under the name Escherichia coli. RNAcentral describes it as "23S ribosomal RNA". It matches the Rfam family "Bacterial large subunit ribosomal RNA". Lineage: Bacteria; Pseudomonadati; Pseudomonadota; Gammaproteobacteria; Enterobacterales; Enterobacteriaceae. The record is from RNAcentral.